CUUCACCGAGCCCAACCAGAGGGGCCGGUCCGCCGGCCGGUCGUGGCCAUACGUGGCGAUCAGCGCCUCCGCCUC
Non-coding RNA from Salinispora tropica CNB-440, 75 nucleotides. It matches the Rfam family "ASpks TB sRNA". The record is from Rfam. NCBI's taxonomy places the organism in Bacteria, Bacillati, Actinomycetota, Actinomycetes, Micromonosporales, Micromonosporaceae.